ACUGAGGGAGGAGUCAAGAUGGCAGAGAAGUAGUAGGCUGAGAUGACAUCAGGUAGCAGGAGAUCAGCUAGAUAAUUUAUCAAACCAUUCUGAACACCUACAAAUCCAAGAGGAGAUUGAAGAGAUGAAGAGCUGUUUCUAGUUUUCUAGAAACAUAAAAUCAACCAUUUUCUGAAAGUUUCAGGGUUAGUUUCCUGGUUGGUUAACACAUCAAGGUGUUAUGACGGUGAUGAGCCCAGACCGGUCAAACUCCAUCCUCCAUGGCCCAUGCAUCACUUCAAUUUAGCUGUUCCUGAGUUGUAUCCUUUAAAAUGAACUAGUUAUGAAGUCCAUUUUCUGAGGUCUUUACUAUUAUAAACAUCAUCCUAUAUUUGCAGAAAUGGAGCACAGAAAGAUGAAGUGAUCUUUCCAAACUUAUGAGCGUUGUCAACCAGAUUGGCCCUUUGAUGAAACACAGAUGGAUCAAGUGAUGUGUGGGACCCCACACAUGGCUCAAGCCCAGGAACCCUUAGCACACACAAAAGAUGUCUGAUCAGACUGUCAACAAUGCAUGAAACACACUGAGGCAUAACAGAAUGAGCACUGGACUCAGAGUCAGAAGAUUGUUUCUAGAUCUCGGCUACUGUGAAUCAUGCUGUAAUGAACAUUGAAGUGCAGAUAUCUCUUCGAGGAAAGAAAGAUGUGAGAUGAAGCUGAAACAGUGAACAAGAAGUGAGAGCACUCAGCAACCUCAUACUACUGAACCCAGUAAAAAAAA
This is a long non-coding RNA of Mustela lutreola (European mink), 757 nucleotides long. RefSeq lists it as uncharacterized. The record is from RefSeq and is a predicted model, not a curated record. Lineage: Eukaryota; Metazoa; Chordata; Mammalia; Carnivora; Mustelidae. The transcript is spliced from 7 exons.